Molecule: transfer RNA, 75 nt
Filed under: Candidatus Peribacteraceae bacterium
Lineage: Bacteria; Candidatus Peregrinibacteriota; Candidatus Peribacteria; Candidatus Peribacterales
Description: tRNA-Met
Rfam family: tRNA
About the family: Transfer RNA (tRNA) molecules are approximately 80 nucleotides in length. Their secondary structure includes four short double-helical elements and three loops (D, anti-codon, and T loops). Further hydrogen bonds mediate the characteristic L-shaped molecular structure. tRNAs have two regions of fundamental functional importance: the anti-codon, which is responsible for specific mRNA codon recognition, and the 3' end, to which the tRNAs corresponding amino acid is attached (by aminoacyl-tRNA synthetases). tRNAs cope with the degeneracy of the genetic code in two manners: having more than one tRNA (with a specific anti-codon) for a particular amino acid; and 'wobble' base-pairing, i.e. permitting non-standard base-pairing at the 3rd anti-codon position.
Source: RNAcentral
AGCGGGGUAGAGCAGUGGUAGCUCGCAAGGCUCAUAACCUUGAGGUCGUGGGUUCAAUUCCCACCCCCGCAACCA